GUUGGGUGUAGUGGCUUGCACCUAUAAUCCCAGCACUUUGGGAGGCUGAGACGGGAGGAUUGCUUGAGCCCAGGAGUUCGAGACUGGCCUGGGCAAUAUGGCAAGAUUCCAUCUCUACAGAAAAAAAUAUUAAAAAUUAGCUGGGCAUGGUAGCAUGCACCUGCAGUCCCAGCUACUUGGGAGGCUGAGAUGGGAGGAUCGCUUAAGCCCAGGAGUUUGAGACCAGCCUGGGCAACAUAGCAAGACCCCAUCUCU
This 255-nucleotide small RNA is filed under the name Nomascus leucogenys (northern white-cheeked gibbon). RNAcentral describes it as "Metazoan signal recognition particle RNA (ENSNLEG00000030995.1)". Lineage: Eukaryota; Metazoa; Chordata; Mammalia; Primates; Hylobatidae. The record is from RNAcentral.